AGGGGCUUAGUUUAAUUAUAGAACAGCGGUCUGUAAAACUGAAGGUUGAUUGCCCUUG
RNAcentral lists this transfer RNA (58 nucleotides) under Strongyloides vituli. RNAcentral describes it as "tRNA-Tyr". Lineage: Eukaryota; Metazoa; Nematoda; Chromadorea; Rhabditida; Strongyloididae. The record is from RNAcentral.